RNAcentral lists this ribosomal RNA (554 nucleotides) under Colletotrichum cymbidiicola. RNAcentral's name for it is "eukaryotic LSU rRNA". The stretch from base 203 to 356 matches the Rfam family "5.8S ribosomal RNA". Lineage: Eukaryota; Fungi; Ascomycota; Sordariomycetes; Glomerellales; Glomerellaceae. The record is from RNAcentral.
AGGGAUCAUUACUGAGUUACCGCUCUAUAACCCUUUGUGAACAUACCUACAACUGUUGCUUCGGCGGGUAGGCCGUCCCCUGAAAAGGACGCCUCCCGGCCCGGACCGGACCCCCUGUGGGGCCGGACUCGGCGCCCGCCGGAGGAUAACCAAACGCUAUUUUAACGACGUUUCUUCUGAGUGGCAUAAGCAAAAUAAUCAAAACUUUUAACAACGGAUCUCUUGGUUCUGGCAUCGAUGAAGAACGCAGCGAAAUGCGAUAAGUAAUGUGAAUUGCAGAAUUCAGUGAAUCAUCGAAUCUUUGAACGCACAUUGCGCCCGCCAGCAUUCUGGCGGGCAUGCCUGUUCGAGCGUCAUUUCAACCCUCAAGCUCUGCUUGGUGUUGGGGCUCUACGGUCGACGUAGGCCCUCAAAGGUAGUGGCGGACCCUCCCGGAGCCUCCUUUGCGUAGUAACAUUUCGUCUCGCACUGGGAUCCGGAGGGACUCUUGCCGUAAAACCCCCCAAUUUUUCAAGGUUGACCUCGGAUCAGGUAGGAAUACCCGCUGAACUUAA